This 1009-nucleotide long non-coding RNA is filed under the name Canis lupus familiaris (dog). RNAcentral describes it as "lncRNA (ENSCAFG00000057304.1)". Lineage: Eukaryota; Metazoa; Chordata; Mammalia; Carnivora; Canidae. The record is from RNAcentral.
GUGAAAUUACAAGUCAGCAGUUGGACCAAGGGGUUUGGCAGUGUGGGGGUUGCUGUGGGGGAUGGAGGGCAGGAGGAAGAGGAGGGUGCCCUACUAUUCUGGAUAGGAUACCCACUGGACUACCUCUUCCUCCCUUUUGACUUACCAGAUUGGCCAAGUAGUGUCUUAAUAUGGCCAAUAUAUCCUCUGGGCUCAUCUGUCCCAUCUUUUCCAGCAAACCAUGGACCUGUGGGGAUAUUGAAUUCCUCUCAGCACAGCCUCAUCGCUACCCACCCCCCUACUUACAACCAUGAGCAGACGAAUAUGCCUGGCCCUGGGAACAGAGCCAAGUGUGGCCAGGCUGGCAUCUCCCCGGGCGGCCACCUCGCCUGAGGAAGCCACGGAACCCCGGCGGCCACCUCGCCUGAGGAAGCCAAGGAACCCCGGCGGCCACCUCGCCUGAGGAAGCCAAGGAACCCCGGCGGCCACCUCGCCUGAGGAAGCCAAGGAGCCCUGGGCGGCCACCUCACCUGAGGAAGCCACGGAACCCCGGCGGCCACCUCACCUGAGGAAGCCACGGAACCCCGGCGGCCACCUCGCCUGAGGAAGCCAAGGAACCCGGGCGGUACGGCCUGUGACCACUAUCACAUGCCCGCGGGCCCCCGGGCUGACCCCUCUUGGGGGUGGCAGCGCCGGUCACCAGAGAGCCCCCAUGGAUCCAUACCGUGACCUGCAGGGAGGUCACGGGACAGUGACGCCCAGCUCCUGGGACACCGGCUGCCCUCCCUCCAACCCCGGGCGUUCUUGGGACCCCUGAGGCAGUUUGAGAAGCAGGCUGGGGAGGGGACGGGCCGGGCGGGCGGUGGAGGCUGAGGCCCCGGCAGUCCUCCCAAACAGGCAAGAGCUGCGGCUUUCCAUUCCGCGGAAGUUUGCUGUGGUCCGUCUCUCCGGGUCCUGCGGCGCCUGCGGCCAAGGAGGAGCCCAAGGAGGAGCCCGGGGCCCAGCCGGUCCGCAGCAGCCCCGCCCCCGG